This 449-nucleotide ribosomal RNA is filed under the name uncultured bacterium. RNAcentral's name for it is "bacterial SSU rRNA". It matches the Rfam family "Bacterial small subunit ribosomal RNA", at positions 29 to 524 of the family's 1533-position model. The record is from RNAcentral.
AUGAACGCUGGCGGCAUGCCUAACACAUGCAAGUCGAACGAAGGCUUCGGCCUUAGUGGCGCACGGGUGCGUAACGCGUGGGAAUCUGCCCUUGGGUUCGGAAUAACUCGCCGAAAGGCGUGCUAAUACCGAAUGAUGACGUAAGUCCAAAGAUUUAUCGCCCAGGGAUGAGCCCGCGUAGGAUUAGCUUGUUGGUGAGGUAAAAGCUCACCAAGGCGACGAUCCUUAGCNGGUCUGAGAGGAUGAUCAGCCACACUGGGACUGAGACACGGCCCAGACUCCUACGGGAGGCAGCAGUGGGGAAUAUUGGACAAUGGGCGAAAGCCUGAUCCAGCAAUGCCGCGUGAGUGAUGAAGGCCUUAGGGUUGUAAAGCUCUUUUACCCGGGAUGAUAAUGACAGUACCGGGAGAAUAAGCUCCGGCUAACUUCGUGCCAGCCGCCGCGGUAAC